AACCGUGUACGUACAAGCAGUGGGAGCACAGGUUUACCUGUGUGACUGCGUACCUUUUGUAUAAUGGGUCAGCGACUUAUAUUCUGUAGCAAGGUUAACCGAAUAGGGGAGCCGGAGGGAAACCGAGUCUUAAUUGGGCGUUAAGUUGCAGGGUAUAGACCCGAAACCCGGUGAUCUAGCCAUGGGCAGGUUGAAGGUUGGGUAACACUAACUGGAGGACCGAACCGACUAAUGUUGAAAAAUUAGCGGAUGACCUGUGGCUGGGGGUGAAAGGCCAAUCAAACCGGGAGAUAGCUGGUUCUCCCCGAAAGCUAUUUAGGUAGCGCCUCGUGAAUUCAUCUCCGGGGGUAGAGCACUGUUUCGGCUAGGGGGCCAUCCCGGCUUACCAACCCGAUGCAAACUGCGAAUACCGGAGAAUGUUAUCACGGGAGACACACGGCGGGUGCUAACGUCCGUCGUGAAGAGGGAAACAACCCAGACCGCCAGCUAAGGUCCCAAAGUCAUGGUUAAGUGGGAAACGAUGUGGGAAGGCCCAGACAGCCAGGAUGUUGGCUUAGAAGCAGCCAUCAUUUAAAGAAAGCGUAAUAGCUCACUGGUCGAGUCGGCCUGCGCGGAAGAUGUAACGGGGCUAAACCAUGCACCGAAGCUGCGGCAGCGAACGUAUCACCCAAGACAACUUUACGGAGUUGACGAUUGACGGAGCGAAGCGACGUCAAAGCGUUCAUUAAAGUCGAGUUGGCUUAGGGAUACGUUCGUUGGGUAGGGGAGCGUUCUGUAAGCCUGUGAAGGUGUGUCGUGAGGC
RNAcentral lists this ribosomal RNA (802 nucleotides) under Salmonella enterica subsp. enterica. RNAcentral describes it as "partial 23S ribosomal RNA". It matches the Rfam family "Bacterial large subunit ribosomal RNA", at positions 554 to 1269 of the family's 2925-position model. Lineage: Bacteria; Pseudomonadati; Pseudomonadota; Gammaproteobacteria; Enterobacterales; Enterobacteriaceae. The record is from RNAcentral.